RNAcentral lists this ribosomal RNA (261 nucleotides) under Culicoides festivipennis. RNAcentral's name for it is "partial 16S ribosomal RNA". The record is from RNAcentral. Lineage: Eukaryota; Metazoa; Arthropoda; Insecta; Diptera; Ceratopogonidae.
AUGGUUGGAUGAGAUAUAAUCUAUUUUUAUUUUAAUAAUAAUGAAUUUUAAUUUUUAGUAAAAAUGCUAAAAUAAAAAAAAAAGACGAGAAGACCCUAUAAAUCUUUAUUUUAAUAAUUAAUUUAAUUAUUUAGAAAAUUUUUUUUAUUUUAUUUAUUAAAAUUUUAUUGGGGUGAUAAUGAAAUUUAAAAAACUUUUAUUUUUUUAUACAAUAAUUUUUGAUUAAUUGAUCCAUUUAUAAUGUUUAUAAAAUUAAGUUAC